ACCUGCGGAAGGAUCAUUAUUGAAAUAAACCUGAUAAGUUGCUGCUGGCUCUCUAGAGAGCAUGUGCACACUUGUCAUUUUUGUGUCUUCACCUGUGCACCUUUUGUAGACCUGAAUAUCUUUCUGAUUGCUUUGGCACUUCAGGAUUGAGGAUUGACUUUGUUGUCUCUCCUUAUAUUUUCAGGUCUAUGUUUCUUCAUAUACCCUGAUGUAUGUCUAUAGAAUGUAUAAUUAAUGGGCCUUUGUGCCUAUAAACCUAUACAACUUUCAGCAACGGAUCUCUUGGCUCUCGCAUCGAUGAAGAACGCAGCGAAAUGCGAUAAGUAAUGUGAAUUGCAGAAUUCAGUGAAUCAUCGAAUCUUUGAACGCACCUUGCGCUCCUUGGUAUUCCGAGGAGCAUGCCUGUUUGAGUGUCAUUAAUAUUMUCAACCUCUUUUGGUUGGAUCUGGGUUUGCUGGCCUCUUCAGGUCAGCUCCCCUUAAAUGCAUUAGCAGACAAUAUUUUGCCAACUGUUCAUUGGUGUGAUAAUUAUCUAUGCCAUUGACUGUGAAGCAAGGUUCAGCUUCUAAUAGUCCAUUGACUUGGACAAAUUUUUUUUUUUUAUUAAUGUGGCCUCAAAUCAGGUAGGACUACCCGCUGAACUUAAGCAUAUCAAUAAGCGGAGGAAAAGAAACUAACAAGGAUUCCCCUAGUAACUGCGAGUGAAGCGGGAAAAGCUCAAAUUUAAAAUCUGGCAGUCUUUGGCUGUCCGAGUUGUAAUCUAGAGAAGCAUUAUCCGCGCUGGACCGUGUACAAGUCUCCUGGAAUGGAGCGUCAUAGAGGGUGAGAAUCCCGUCUUUGACACGGACUGCCAGGGCUUUUGUGAUGUGCUCUCAAAGAGUCGAGUUGUUUGGGAAUGCAGCUCAAAAUGGGUGGUAAAUUCCAUCUAAAGCUAAAUAUUGGCGAGAGACCGAUAGCGAACAAGUACCGYGAGGGAAAGAUGAAAAGAACUUUGGAAAGAGAGUUAAACAGUACGUGAAAUUGCUGAAAGGGAAACGCUUGAAGUCAGUCGCGUUGUCCAGGGAUCAACUCUUGCUUUUGCUUGGUGUACUUUCUGGUCAAUGGGUCAGCAUCAAUUUUGACUAUUGGAAAAAGAUCAGGGGAAUGUGGCAUCUUUGGAUGUGUUAUAGCCCUUGGUUGCAUACAAUAGUUGGGAUUGAGGAACUCAGCACGCCGCAAGGCCGAGUUUUUAACUACGUACGUGCUUAGGAUGCUGGCAUAAUGGCUUUAAUCGACCCGUCUG
RNAcentral lists this ribosomal RNA (1282 nucleotides) under Cortinarius sp. F41803. RNAcentral describes it as "eukaryotic LSU rRNA". The stretch from base 610 to 1282 matches the Rfam family "Eukaryotic large subunit ribosomal RNA", at positions 1 to 655 of the family's 3401-position model. Lineage: Eukaryota; Fungi; Basidiomycota; Agaricomycetes; Agaricales; Cortinariaceae. The record is from RNAcentral.